AGAGUUUGAUCAUGGCUCAGAUUGAACGCUGGCGGCAGGCCUAACACAUGCAAGUCGAACGGUAACAGGAAUCAGCUUGCUGAUUCGCUGACGAGUGGCGGACGGGUGAGUAAUGUCUGGGAAACUGCCUGAUGGAGGGGGAUAACUACUGGAAACGGUAGCUAAUACCGCAUAAUGUCGCAAGACCAAAGAGGGGGACCUUCGGGCCUCUUGCCAUCGGAUGUGCCCAGAUGGGAUUAGCUUGUUGGUGAGGUAACGGCUCACCAAGGCGACGAUCCCUAGCUGGUCUGAGAGGAUGACCAGCCACACUGGAACUGAGACACGGUCCAGACUCCUACGGGAGGCAGCAGUGGGGAAUAUUGCACAAUGGGCGCAAGCCUGAUGCAGCCAUGCCGCGUGUAUGAAGAAGGCCUUCGGGUUGUAAAGUACUUUCAGCGGGGAGGAAGGGAGUAAAGUUAAUACCUUUGCUCAUUGACGUUACCCGCAGAAGAAGCACCGGCUAACUCCGUGCCAGCAGCCGCGGUAAUACGGAGGGUGCAAGCGUUAAUCGGAAUUACUGGGCGUAAAGCGCACGCAGGCGGUUUGUUAAGUCAGAUGUGAAAUCCCCGGGCUCAACCUGGGAACUGCAUCUGAUACUGGCAAGCUUGAGUCUCGUAGAGGGGGGUAGAAUUCCAGGUGUAGCGGUGAAAUGCGUAGAGAUCUGGAGGAAUACCGGUGGCGAAGGCGGCCCCCUGGACGAAGACUGACGCUCAGGUGCGAAAGCGUGGGGAGCAAACAGGAUUAGAUACCCUGGUAGUCCACGCCGUAAACGAUGUCGACUUGGAGGUUGUGCCCUUGAGGCGUGGCUUCCGGAGCUAACGCGUUAAGUCGACCGCCUGGGGAGUACGGCCGCAAGGUUAAAACUCAAAUGAAUUGACGGGGGCCCGCACAAGCGGUGGAGCAUGUGGUUUAAUUCGAUGCAACGCGAAGAACCUUACCUGGUCUUGACAUCCACGGAAGUUUUCAGAGAUGAGAAUGUGCCUUCGGGAACCGUGAGACAGGUGCUGCAUGGCUGUCGUCAGCUCGUGUUGUGAAAUGUUGGGUUAAGUCCCGCAACGAGCGCAACCCUUAUCCUUUGUUGCCAGCGGUCCGGCCGGGAACUCAAAGGAGACUGCCAGUGAUAAACUGGAGGAAGGUGGGGACGACGUCAAGUCAUCAUGGCCCUUACGACCAGGGCUACACACGUGCUACAAUGGCGCAUACAAAGAGAAGCGACCUCGCGAGAGCAAGCGGACCUCAUAAAGUGCGUCGUAGUCCGGAUUGGAGUCUGCAACUCGACUCCAUGAAGUCGGAAUCGCUAGUAAUCGUGGAUCAGAAUGCCACGGUGAAUACGUUCCCGGGCCUUGUACACACCGCCCGUCACACCAUGGGAGUGGGUUGCAAAAGAAGUAGGUAGCUUAACCUUCGGGAGGGCGCUUACCACUUUGUGAUUCAUGACUGGGGUGAAGUCGUAACAAGGUAACCGUAGGGGAACCUGCGGUUG
Molecule: ribosomal RNA, 1522 nt
Filed under: Shigella flexneri
Lineage: Bacteria; Pseudomonadati; Pseudomonadota; Gammaproteobacteria; Enterobacterales; Enterobacteriaceae
Description: bacterial SSU rRNA
Rfam family: Bacterial small subunit ribosomal RNA
Source: RNAcentral